GCGGAUAUAGCUCACGUUGGUAGAGCGCGAGUCUUCCAAACUCGAGGCCGCGGGUUCGAUCCCCGCUAUCCGCU
This 74-nucleotide transfer RNA is filed under the name Leucobacter luti. It matches the Rfam family "tRNA". From Rfam's summary of the family: Transfer RNA (tRNA) molecules are approximately 80 nucleotides in length. Their secondary structure includes four short double-helical elements and three loops (D, anti-codon, and T loops). Further hydrogen bonds mediate the characteristic L-shaped molecular structure. tRNAs have two regions of fundamental functional importance: the anti-codon, which is responsible for specific mRNA codon recognition, and the 3' end, to which the tRNAs corresponding amino acid is attached (by aminoacyl-tRNA synthetases). tRNAs cope with the degeneracy of the genetic code in two manners: having more than one tRNA (with a specific anti-codon) for a particular amino acid; and 'wobble' base-pairing, i.e. permitting non-standard base-pairing at the 3rd anti-codon position. The record is from Rfam by way of RNAcentral. Lineage: Bacteria; Bacillati; Actinomycetota; Actinomycetes; Micrococcales; Microbacteriaceae.